GUAGUAGACUGAGUUUUUGGUGAAUUAGCAGGGAAUUAGAAGGAAUUAGCCUCCACUAGGCUGAAUCGUUAAUUCUUUUGAAAUCUCGCCUUUUUAAAAAUUUCACAUGACAGAGAGCAGAUCCAGGCUUGACUCUUACUUGGAAAAACUGCCCUAACCUGAAAAAACUGUAGGGUAGAAUUCAAGGUUUAAAAAUNGAGCUCAAGGAGAGGAGGACUGAAUAAGGGUCACGUCUAAGGCUACAUUGGGUCAUGGUAGUAGUAGACUGAGUUUUUGGUGAAUUAGCAGGGAAUUAGAAGGAAUUAGCCUCCACUAGGCUGAAUCGUUAAUUCUUUUGAAAUCUCGCCUUCUUAAAAAUUUCACAUGACAGAGAGCAGAUCCAGGCUUGACUCUUACUUGGAAAAACUGCCCUAACCUGAAAAAACAGUAGGGUAGAAUUCAAGGUUUAAAAAUAAUGGCCAAAAGACUGCAUUUCACUCAAGAUUGCUACAGGCCAUGGACUGUCCUAUAAGUGGAGACUGAGUCAUUUUUUUUUAACAACUUGACAGUGAAGCUUACAUCAGAAAAUAGCCUAGAAAGGCUGAAGUCAUGAAGAGCAGGAAAGAAUAAAGCAAGAAGAAAAGGUCA
RNAcentral lists this long non-coding RNA (627 nucleotides) under Sus scrofa (pig). Its description in RNAcentral is "lncRNA (ENSSSCG00060075967.1)". Lineage: Eukaryota; Metazoa; Chordata; Mammalia; Artiodactyla; Suidae. The record is from RNAcentral.